AUACGUAGGUGGCAAGCGUUGUCCGGAAUUAUUGGGCGUAAAGCGCAUGUAGGCGGUGCCUUAAGUCUGUCGUGAAACUGCGGGGCCUAACCCCGUAUGGCGAUGGAAACUGUGGCACUUGAGUGCAGGAGAGGAAAGGGGAACUCCCAGUGUAGCGGUGAAAUGCGUAGAUAUUGGGAAGAACACCGGUGGCGAAGGGGCCUUUCUGGACUGUGUCUGACGCUGAGAUGCGAAAGCCAGGGUAGCGAACGGGAUUAGAUACCCCGGUAGUCCUGGCCGUAAACGAUGGGUACUAGGUGUGGGAGGUAUCGACCCCUUCCGUGCCGGAGUUAACGCAAUAAGUACCCCGCCUGGGGAGUACGGCCGCAAGGCUUAAACUUAAAGGAAUUGACGGGG
Molecule: ribosomal RNA, 396 nt
Filed under: uncultured bacterium
Lineage: Bacteria
Description: partial 16S ribosomal RNA
Rfam family: Bacterial small subunit ribosomal RNA
Source: RNAcentral